RNAcentral lists this ribosomal RNA (2733 nucleotides) under Triticum aestivum (bread wheat). RNAcentral describes it as "partial small subunit ribosomal RNA". The record is from RNAcentral. Lineage: Eukaryota; Viridiplantae; Streptophyta; Magnoliopsida; Poales; Poaceae.
AUGGCAGAGGGCGUUGUAGCGUUGCUGAUUGCAAAGCUCGGUUUUGCCUUAGCAAAAGAGGCUGCAACCUUUGGCGCAUCGCUGCUAUGCAACGAAGCAUCUGCCAUCAGGGGCCUCUUCGGCGAGAUCCGUGAGGCCAAGGAGGAGCUGGAGAGCAUGCAUGCCUACCUCCAAGGGGCGGAGCGGUUCAAGGACACCGAUGAGACUACCCGUAUUUUUGUCAACAAGAUCAGGGGCUUCGCCUUCGAGAUUGAGGAUGUGGUCGAUGAGUUCACCUACAAGCUGGAAGACAAGCAUGGUGGAUUCACUAAGAGGAUGAAGAAGAGGGUCAAGCACAUCAAGGCAUGGCAUCGUUUGACACUCAAGCUUCAGGAUAUCAAGGGCAGGCUUCAGAGUGCAGACAGGAGAAAGGUCCGCUACAGCAUGAGAGAGAUGGAUAGAGAGGGGAGGAACGGUGGCCACUCUAGAUCUGCUGACCAUUCUCUGAAUCUUGUGAGGGGAGAGGAUCUUGUGGGCAUUGAGAAGAACAAGGACAAGUUGAUGCACUGGCUCGUGGGUGAUUUGGAGGAGCCACGAAGCAAAAUUGCAACUAUUUGGGGAAUGGGAGGUGUGGGUAAGACCACUUUGGUUCAUCAUGUGUACACGGCCGUGAAGAUGGACUUUAAUAUUUCUGUGUGGAUAAGUGUAUCAAGUAGCUACCAAGUUGAAGACUUGCUGAAAAAGAUUGCAAGUGAAUUGGGUAUCCCAAAUAGUGUUGCCAACGGAAACAGAAGCUUGGUUGAGGUAAUCCAUAAUCAUCUGGAGGGUUCAAAUUAUCUCAUAAUCCUGGAUGAUGUUUGGAAUGUGGAUGUCUGGUUUAAGAUUAGGAAUGCAUUUCCUACAGAAAGCACUGGUCGAUUUGUUAUCACCACUAGAAUUCAGGAGGUAGCAUUGCUGGCAACAAAAACCUAUACAAUCAAACUCGAACCAUUGGAAAGAGAUUACGCGUGGCAGCUAUUUUGCAAUGAAGCCUUUUGGAACAAUGACAACAAAACAUGCCCAGAGGAACUAGAAAAAUUAGCUCAGAUGUUUCUCAAUAAGUGUGGUGGCUUGCCAAUUGCUAUUGCUUGUGUAGGCCGCUUGUUGUCAUGCCGGCAUCCAACUUACAGCCAGUGGGAAAGUCUAUACGAGGAGUUAGAGUCGCAACUCAGUAAUAAUGUGAUCCUCGAUGUCAACAUUGUUCUGAAAGUCAGCUUGGAGGACCUUCCAACUGAUUUAAAGAAUUGUUUUCUGCACUGCACAAUAUUUCCAGAGGGUCGUCUAUUCGGAAGGAAAAGGUUAAUCAGGCAUUGGAUCGCAGCUGGAUUCAUUAAAGAAGCAGGGAGCAAAUCAUUGGAGGAAGUGGCAGAGGGCUACCUUUACGAACUUGUAAACAGAAGCCUACUGCAGGUGGUCCAGCGGAAUUCGUAUGGUCGAGUUCGCAGGUGCCGAAUGCAUGACAUCAUCCGUGUUCUUGCUCUUGCUAAAUCAGAAGAGGAAUCCUUUUGUCAAUUUUACAAUGGCUCAAGGCCUUUUUAUACCGAGAAUACGCGUCGCCUGUCAAUUCAGGGUACAAGCAGGGAACAAUUGACCGUAUUGUCAAGUGCAACAAGUCUUCGCUCUCUGCAUGUUUUUGACAGCCACCUGAGAAUAGAUUUUCUAGAGGCUUUCCUCAGACCUUUCAGCUUGCUGUCAACAUUGGAUUUGCAAGGAGUUCAAAUCAAGAGACUACCCAAGAUGGUCUUCAACUUGUUUAAUCUGCGCUUUCUAGGUCUUCGAGAUACUCAUAUUGAAUAUCUCCCAAAAGAAAUAGGGAGGUUACAGAACCUGGAAGUCCUGGAUGCUUGCAAGGCGAUGCUAUCGGCACUUCCAGUGGAAGUGGCCACACUUCGGAAACUGAAAUACUUGUUUGUGAUUACUGUUCCGGCUGGAGCUUAUGGGAGAUUUGUUGUUUUUGAUGGGAUCCAGGUGCCGAAGGCUAUCGGCAAUUUGACCGACUUGUUGGCCCUGCAAUAUAUCGAAGCUAACAGUGAGGUGCUGUGUCAUCUAGGAUGCUUAACCAAGUUAAGAACUUUUGGUAUCAGUAAAGUCAGGAAUGGUCAUUGUGCAGAUUUGUGUGGGGCGAUCACGAAAAUGGUUCAUCUUGUUCAUGUAGGAAUCUUUGCACUUGAUCAAACGGAAGUCCUCCAGCUGGAGGCACUUCGCUUACCUCCAACUGUUUCAAAAGUAGAGAUAUAUGCGCAGCUAGACGAAAGAACUCUACCUCAGUUUGUCUCAUCCAGUUCAAAACUUAUUAACCUCACGGAUUUAGCGUUGUGUUGGUCCAAAUUAUAUGAAGAUUCUUUUGCGUGCCUCAUGGGUUUGCAUGGCUUAGUUAAACUUGUCCUUGGUAAGGCUUAUGAUGGAGAGGAGCUACACUUCCGUGCAACAUCGCUUCCAAAACUCAAAGCACUAGGGAUAUGGGGUGCUCCGAAUCUCAACAGAGUUGCAAUUGAACAAGGUGCGAUGAAAAACAUUGUUGACCUAAUUCUCAGAGACUGUCCAGUAUUGGACGAUCUUCCUCAUGGCAUCGAGCAUCUCAGAACCCUCGAGUACCUGGAGUUGCACAAUAUUUCUGAAGAGCUGACACGGAAGCUUCAAACAAAUGAGGAAUCAAAGGAACGCGAUGAAGAUUGGAUGAAAAUUAACCAUGUGAGACGGGUUGUGGUUAUUUAG